GACCUGAGAUAAGGCAAGGCUACCCGCUGAACUUAAGCAUAUCAAUAGGCG
Molecule: ribosomal RNA, 51 nt
Filed under: Ulvales sp. 2-BER-2007
Lineage: Eukaryota; Viridiplantae; Chlorophyta; Ulvophyceae; Ulvales
Description: partial 28S large subunit ribosomal RNA
Source: RNAcentral